Molecule: long non-coding RNA, 5232 nt
Organism: Papaver somniferum (opium poppy)
Lineage: Eukaryota; Viridiplantae; Streptophyta; Magnoliopsida; Ranunculales; Papaveraceae
Exons: 17
Source: RefSeq, a predicted model, not a curated record
UUCUUUCCAUCUCUCCUCUCCAAAAAAACUCAAAUUCUCGACAAUGGAGACCGGAGAAAAACAAUUAGGAAAAGAAACAACAGAGAACUUGGUAAAAGAAACAACGAGAUACUUACAAGCAGAUCGAUCUAUUGGCAAAGGAAAUGGCUUAUCAAUUCAAACCUAAAAUAUCGUAAUCUUGCCAAGAAUCUAGGGUUUGGUUUUGGGAAGAGCAGCUGAGACUGUGUAUGAAUCGGUAAGAAUGAGAAUGGGUUAAUUGAAGAUGGGGGUUUGAGAGUUCUUGGAUGAUGAUAAGAGUUGGGUUGAGCUCAAAUAUUUGCAACCAGAUGAAGAAAUCAAUCCAGAAAAAAUAUUCCAGGUUUGUCGUAGUGAAGAUACCAUUAUUAAUUAUGCAUCUUGGAAGGUUUUUGAUGGUUAUUGAUGUCUAAUAGACAAAGGCAGAGUUGCACAAUUAGUAAAACAUUGUUGGAUGCAAGCCUAUGGAGUAAAUUUAAGAGAUGGCGAUGGGGUUAUCGUUUAUGAUAUGUUAAGAUAAUACUACUUAUCUUAUUGGUGCACCACCAGUAACUGCAACAACAUGCAUCAUUCCAGUUUCAGGCAAAAAUGGGUUGCACUACCAAGGUAGAGGGAGACAGACUAGACUUUUUCCUCGCCAACAGGAAUUAAUUGAGUAUGAGGCAGGCCCACUAGGAUAAUACUAAUGGAUGGCAUGGAGGAUUUGUGAGAGGUGCACUACCACGGAAAUAGAGCCCAUGGUGUUGUGCGGGGUUAACUUGCAAACUAAUUUAUUAAUCCGAGGAGAUAUCAUUGCUUAUGUUUAUCUACGACGCCUUCAAUAAAGAACCCCCAACACCAACGGUAGAGCAAACAUCUCCAGGAACUCCAAUCAUUGAACGCAAUCAUGUGCCCCUCUAAUGGUUUUAAUUUACAUGUAUCAGUAGGCAACAGAGAUCGGCACAUGAAGAAUCAUUCCCUUAAAUCCGCAUAAACUUAAUAUUGCCAUUGAGACAUGUCAAGUUAAUUCCCACCAGAAUUUCAUGAUCCUUUAAUGAGGGAGCAUGCAUGAUGGAGUCACCAUAGAUACUCUGAAGAAAAUGGUGGGAAUUCUUAAGGGGACAAAACAGGAGGGAAAUGCAUAGACAAUGUCGAUCACGUUCAUCCCAUUGUAACUGAGCUUGGAGAACCUAAUGAUAUGUCCACAAUUGUGCGUGUAUCACUGGAAUCAAACCGAAUAAAUUUGAGGUAGCGUGAUAUUAACACAGGAAAAAAUAGUUUAUUAAUUGUUGUAUACUUAUAGAUAGAUGAUGAUGUUUAUUGUAUAGAACUGAUGUGAAUAAGAAAUUUCUUUCGGUUUGGUAUAUCAUAUGUACUUCAUGAUGAAACCUCUCUGGAUGGUGAUAAUGACACGGAUAGUUUGCAAAUGAAUAAUGAUGAAAAACCUCAUGUACUUGCUUUCACUGGCCAUUUUAAUCAAUUAAACAUGUGAACAAAACCCUCUCAUAUAGUUGGCAAAUCGAUUAGUAAGUAUAGGGUAAAUCAGAAAAGAAAUGAGAGGGAAAGAAUAGUAACGAAGAUAUAUUACCGUGGCAUAAAGAUGAAACAGUUGAGAAUAUCAGCAUAUUAAGACUAAACCACUAUAUACAAUUCCUUGAAUAGUGGAAUGGAAUUGACUCCUUGAUCAAAGAUGUGGUAAUUGACUCCUUGAUCAAAGAGUCAAUCGGUGGACAGGAUUCUUUUGUAUGGUUUGCAGAACUUCAAGAGGUAGAUAUCGUAGUACUUCGAAGAGGUAAGUUUCUCGAAAUUCAUUGCAGCAAACCCUAAUUUAUCAAUUUCUUAUAUGUAUCUAGGGUUUUGAUUCGUUUUUAUCUCGAAUUAUUGAGUUACUCCUUUGUAUGGUUCUAAUAAGUUUCGUAAGAUUGUUGCAAAAUAUGGUUUUGGGGUUUCUGGGUUUAGCAAAUUCUAAGGUCUUUUACUCCUCUCAACCAUAAAUGGUUCAAAUAGAAGUUUCUUCAAACUUUUGGAUGCUGAUUACUGUGGUCUAAUAAGAGAUCUAGCUAUGAAUGCACAUUUCUGCUGAAACCAUCUCCACAGGAGAAGCCUUUUUCCAAUUCAGGCUGAGAAAAACGAUGCAGAUGGAAAAGAAUUAAUCAAAAAGAUGUUACAAGAGUGAUUGAAAGAAAAAAUAUCAUAUGGUCCAAUCGAUGAAAGGUUAAAAUUUUGGUAAAGUUUUAUAAAUCAAAUUUCUGUUUUUAGGUUUCUUUAUUCUAAAUCUCGAAAAGAUUGGGAAUUCAAUUGAAGAUGUUACAUCUGAUGAGUAGCUUACAUGGUGUGUCUGAAAGUGUAACAUAACUUCCAUUGCUUAAAAAAAAACACUUCCAUUUCAUACUAGACGUCAAUGAAAAUUAAAUACCUCGAAUCAUGUAGUUUUCCUCUAAUUACGUCUCACAUCGAUAGCAUUUCAGUUACCGUUUUUUUGUUUUGAUCAGAAAUUUCAAUUACUGUUAUUAAUGUAAAUUUUUGUUUCACUACUGUGUUACGUGAAUAAUGUAAUCUAAUAGUGGGAUUAUCACCUAACGUCAUAUGUUGCUUUUGUAGAUACUUCUUGGUUCGAGAUACAUAUGUUCAAACUAAAGUUUCAAAAUCAGUACAUACUAUUAAGCUUUCCAUGUAUUGUGGAACAAAUCAGUACAUACUAUUAAGCUUUCCAUGUAUUGUGGAACAAAAAACAGCAAAAUAACUUGGAAAACAUUGAGUUUUAGCCAGGCAGAAGGUCUUUACAAUCCUGCCAUUUUACAGAUUCUGUUGAAAGUAAGAGAGAAGAAGAUAGUGACAGGUAGAUGAUGAUGACAACAAUGAAAAUGGCAUGUUUAUAGGUAGAAUCGGCAGAUGUUGAGAAUGAGAGUGGUAGAGACAUCUUGCAGUUGGCUUUGCUCCUUUAGGAAGCAUAACCAGUGGUUCAGCUUCGUAUUGCAUUACAGGACAGUUUGCAUUUUCCUUCGUCCAUUUUUGCAAUGAAAUGAGGUAGUCCUUGAUAUUCCUUUCCAAAUGGGUCAACAGAGAUAUGGUGGGGUGAUGCUCGAGCUCUAAAAUAAGCUUCUUCUCGAAAACAAAAGGAUUUUCUAACUGGAUUUUUCUGCUCUUUCUCUCUGCAUCUACAAAUAUUUUUCCCCUCACCUGAAAACCUUAAAUUUUUAUUUGCCUGUGUUUUUGGUUUGCGGUUUGUUGAUUUUUUUCAGGUUUUGUGUCGGGUAAAGGUCGAAUCAGAAAUAUGCGAAGCUUUUUAGGGUUGUUGUAAUCAGAUUGAUGCAGCAAGCCGAUUAGGGUUUUGGUUGACUGGAUGAUGUUCUCUUAGCUACUAUAUGGAAACAUAAGCCUGAACCUGCGAAAUUGUGGUUACUUUUACCUAUCAUGCUCAAAAUCUUUGUAAACAAUUUGUGAUUUUAGUUUAGAGUAAAUUCCUUUUUCUUCUAUAUUAUUUCAUAUAUACCUGAUUGUCCAGAGAGGAGAUUUACUUUGUCUCUUGAGCAAUUAGACAUAAGUACACAUUUGGCAUCAGUAUUUGAGCAUCAUCAGAGCACCGAGAUCAGGUCCCUUGGUGAGGCUUUUGGAUUGGAUAUUUGUGUUUAUUUAUGGAAUGCUUGCAGUAGUAAGGUGCUUUAUAAAUGUGCAAGCCAUUCCAUCUAUAUUGUAUUUUUAUUGAUUAUCUCGGCUAAUGGACUUCGAAAAUAUGAAAAACAACAUAUGUUGUUGUUGCCAGGUUCUCUACGCAGUUGAACGGGGCCCUCCGUCGAUGCUUUUUGCACAAGCAACUAAUGCUGAGUGGUGUGAAAUCCCCGUUUUCAGAAGCAUGCACAUGUAGACCUAUUGGAACUGUUGAAAAGAAGAGAUUAAAAGCAUUCAUUACUCAGGUUGUACAAGGGGCAUAUAUCGGGGUGUUGCUGAUAUUUUUUGUUGUUCACUGGUGGUUCCCAGAGGAUCUAUCGAUGGUGCAAGCUUUAUUUCUUUUAUAACUUCACUUUUUCGUUGAUAGAGGCGAUCCAGAUAAUAGUUUGAUCCUCUUAUUAGGAAUAAUGAUUGUCGCUCCGCUCUUUGAUUGAAGUCAAAACGAACAGAAUGCAUGUGAAGUACACUAUCUUCAGGAACGUUGUUGUGCAAAGGAAUUGAUGUUGAAUCACAGGGAACUAUCUCAAGUACGUGGAUUCUAAUGUUGAAACGUGUGUGUUGGUAAUAAGUCAAUCUCUUGGUAUAAAGGUAUUCAUGUGUAUUCUUCUUUCAAUUUAUUCGAUUUGAUGUAGGAGCUGAUGAUGUUUUUGUUGCGGAUAUUAGGGAUGCUGAGACUAAUAGAAAAUAAAAAAUUGGAAGGGGUUUCUGAGUUUGUACAUGCAAUUCAGUUGAAACCUGCAAAGGAAAUUGAGAAUGAGAACUAUGCUUUAGCAUCUGGAAUUUGAGAUCAAAAUUCCAAAUUAUAUAAUGGCACGACGAGGUGACGUCAUUAGAACUGUUUAUGUCUUAUGACAUUGAUCAACAGGUUACGUAGUCUCACAUUCAAGCUUCUAAAUAUUUUUUUUAUUAGUGUAUUCUUAAAUCCUCAACUGCAAAAGCAAUUAAGAAUGACAAUUAUGCUUUAGCAGCUGGAACUCGAGAUCAAAAUUCCGAAUUAGAUAAUGGCACGACUAGGUGCCGUUAUUAUAACUGUUUAUUUCUUAUGACAUUGUUCAACAGGUUACAUAGUCUCGCAUUUAAGCUUCUAAAUAAAUUUUUUAUUUGUGUAUUCUUAAAUCCUGACGUCCACGAGUACCAUUGUUUUGUGAAUUAGUUUACAGGAGAACAACUUGCAGCACUCUUCGUAGACUGUUUAUACUUGCGGUGGAUGACCUUUGUAGGAACCUCUUUGAUGUCAUAUGUGAAGCAUUUACUACAAGUUAUUCCAUAGUUCCAAGGGCUUGGGACCCACAAUUUGCAAUCUUUCACUGUUGUGUAUUGCCAUGGAUACAACUACUUUAAGAAGUUAUAUCUUAGAAAGAGCGAUCUAAAUCUAUUGGAACCAGUGAAAACUUAAUAAUUAUUGUUAUUGGGGGUUUCACUGCAAUAUUAGGACAGAUACAACAUUUUCAAGGAUGCAGACCCUGUCAGACGUACAUGGAGUAGGCCUUUGAUGGGCUUGGCCCAAUCAACAGCUAUUCAGGUACUAAAUAAAGCCUGGUUAACUCACGGAGCGAAAAGAGCAAAGAA